CCUACGGGAGGCAGCAGUGAGGAAUAUUGGUCAAUGGGCGUGAGCCUGAACCAGCCAAGUAGCGUGAAGGAUGACUGCCCUACGGGUUGUAAACUUCUUUUAUAAAGGAAUAAAGUGAGGCACGUGUGCCUUUUUGUGUGUACUUUAUGAAUAAGGAUCGGCUAACUCCGUGCCAGCAGCCGCGGUAAUACGGAGGAUCCGAGCGUUAUCCGGAUUUAUUGGGUUUAAAGGGAGCGUAGAUGGGUUGUUACGUCAGUUGUGAAAGUUUGCGGCUCAACCGUAAAACUGCAAUUGAUACUGGCAGUCUUGAGUACAGGUGAGGUAGGCGGAAUUCGUGGUGUAGCGGUGAAAUGCUUAGAUAUCACGAAGAACUCCGAUUGCGAAGGCAGCUUACUA
Molecule: ribosomal RNA, 396 nt
Filed under: uncultured bacterium
Lineage: Bacteria
Description: partial 16S ribosomal RNA
Rfam family: Bacterial small subunit ribosomal RNA
Source: RNAcentral